Molecule: transfer-messenger RNA, 364 nt
Filed under: Burkholderiales
Lineage: Bacteria; Pseudomonadati; Pseudomonadota; Betaproteobacteria
Also listed under: 1 other name
Description: 2-02-FULL-62-17 sp001770355 Standard tmRNA
Rfam family: transfer-messenger RNA
About the family: Bacterial tmRNA, also known as 10Sa RNA or SsrA, is named for its dual tRNA and mRNA-like properties. Its role is to liberate the mRNA from a stalled ribosome.
Source: RNAcentral
GGGGCCGACUUGGUUUCGACGUGGGUAUCGAAGCAGCACAGUGCAUACCGAGGGCCAGCCACCUCGUAAAUCCAACUGGAAAACCACAAACGCAAACGACGAGCGUUUUGCUCUAGCCGCCUAAAACCGGCUGGACUCUGCACCGGUCUGCUCAUGGGCCGGGUCGGCGCAAGCUGACGGCAGAGUCAUUAUCAUGAGCUAAGGUUUCCGUUCGCCGCGAGCGGAAAUUCGAAAACCCAGCGGAUCGCCGUUUGCCAGCCUGCCGGUUGGCGUGCAAACGGUCAGAUCAAACAACCUGGCUAAGUAUGUAGUACUGGCUGUGUAGGACUUGCGGACGCGGGUUCAAUUCCCGCCGGCUCCACCA